This is a non-coding RNA of Pelobates cultripes (western spadefoot toad), 224 nucleotides long. The record is from the annotation of a GenBank genome assembly. Lineage: Eukaryota; Metazoa; Chordata; Amphibia; Anura; Pelobatidae.
CUUUACUUUCUGCCCGGACCUAGGUCCUGGACGCCGCCAUCUUUGUGUGGGUAGAUAAAGUAACUGUGGGACACGUCAUCUGCCCACACUAGAUAGCGCUAUGAAAUUCCCACGCAUGCACAGUUAAACACUUGGGCAUUCGCUACGGGAAUUUAGUCCAUUCAUUCGUCAGAAAGACGAAGGAAUGAAUAGAAAUUUCAGACGACAAACAUCGAAUAUCGGUG